UUCCAAGUACUAGUCUUGAUAUUUGUAUAUGAAAGCUUCAUGUCCAUAUGGGUGGGUUCUUGGGAAUAGUUACUAGCAAAAUUCUUGGCAAUAAUGAAGGUUGUUUCAUCGUAAACCCUGAAAUUACCAAGAUCAUAUUAGCCAUCAUAAAUAUCCCUUGGCAAGACUGGCUCUUCCACCGUUAGCUUGGCUUCUUUGGUGAUGGUUGGGAUUGCUGGGCUAAGCCAUUCCACGUCGUUUUGUCCUGUGAGGGUCGUGCAGAAGUUUUCGUUGCCCAGGUUGAUAAGACCUAUAGUCUUAUCGUCAACUUUGACAGGGCGAAAUGUGGUGCCAUCAUUGUUUCUAGGGUCAUCAUAUCCUACCCAAAUCCAUUUCGGGUCGGCCCACCAAAACUUUCCAGCAGUUGAGUCACCAAUGUCACCUGCUGAAAAUGCUAAGUAAUUUUCACGAACACACAGGUACUUGUUAUUAUGUCCUUUGAAGGCAACGUACUUUGGCAAAACCAGUAACUACUUACAAUCAAUAAUGCUGAAGAUAUCAAAGCCAUUACUAUCAAACUCCCGGUAGUUUGCCGACACGCAGCGAUUAAGUAUCAGAUCACUCCCUAGCCAUAAGCAUAAAUUGAACCCUGAUUGGACAUGCACGAUUCAUACUUUACCAGUAGCAUGGUCUACAGGGACAAACUUGAACAACGUACAUGUCUCCUUGGAUUGAUCUUCCUCCUAGUUUUGAGCAGUGGCGGUAAUCCAGUACUGGCCCUGUGGGACUCCGGCGAUGGAAACGGUUUUGGUUCGUUGCCAAUACUUGUUGUUUUGGCAACUUCUUAUAUGCACCAAGCCAUUUGUGUCGGAAAUCUCCACUUCGAACUUAGCAUAUGGACUCACGGCUUGAGAAACCCAAGGCAGGGAUUUAAAUAGCGGUCCGGUAUCAGAAUAGUGGUCGUUAUAUAGCGGUAGUGGCACCGUCCGAAACUGUUGUUGCUGAAAAUAACGGUGUGAAGCGGAGUCACGCCAAUAACGGUGGGUCGCGGCCACAAUUUAACUGGUAACGGCCAAUUGCGGCAAUAACGGGCCACUAUUCCCGUUAUUUUCGGUUACAGUAAAUUAAAAAAAAAGUCAUCCCCUCAAACAAAAAUCAACAGAAAUAGUGAAACACAAUAAAACAAAAGGGAAUAUAUUCCCCUGCCUGCAAAAUUAGAGAGCUUUCAAUCAAAAAAAAGUAAAAAGAAGUCCAAAAAAACAGAAAAAAGUAAUCAAAACUCAAAAGCAAUAGAAAAUAUGAAAUUUUGUUUCUUAUAUUUCGGCAAACAACAAGCAGGAGAUGAAAGCAAGGAGCCGAGGACUUGAAUCUGAAAAGCAAACCCUGCCCUAAUCACUUGCACAUUUAGAGAUUGAUAAAUUUCAAGUAAGUAGUACCUGAAAUUUUGUCUUGAUUUUUUCUUGUUUGUCUUGAAUCUGCAGUGCAAAUAUGUUCUUUAGAAUUAAGGACACCGUUUGAACCGCUUGACGGACACCAUCUAUUUCCUCUUCGAAGUUCUAGGUUUCUUCUAGUUCUUUCUCAGCCCUUUUAAGCCAGUAUUCCUUUACCUGGUUUUUCACACUUUCAACAGCAGUAGAGCCAACAUAUUCGGCCAUUUUUGUUGAUAUUCUGAUGAGUGAUGAGGUUGAAGUUUAGAGUUGGAGGCUUGGAGCCUUGGAGGCUACUGGUUAGGGUUAGGGAAUAGAAAGAAUCGUUUCAUUUUAUUUUUAUUUUUCUGUUUUUAUUUUGGUUUAUGGCUUUAUUGGCAUGCUGCUCUAUUUUUUUUCCUUUGCCUCUUGUUUUACUCAUUAAUUAGGGGCAGCCACCGUCCAUUUUAACCACUAGAAAAUAGGCAUGUAAAUGGUUCUUUUAUUGAGAAAUGGUAAGUUGGUAACCUCAAUUUGCAGCCACCUUCCAUUUUAUCCGCCUGUCAAUUGUUAAAAAUUUUCUUAAAAUAAUUAUUAGAAAAUUUCUUUAUUAAAUUUUAAAAUAUAUAUAAAUUUUUGGACACAAUUUUUAAUAUGACAUGUAAUAAAGUCUUUAUAGUUAAUUUUCCCCUUAAGUCUUUGUUAUCUAUGAACAAACAUUCAUAUAUUAAAAAUUAAAAAUAUUUGAAACACGAAAUUUUAUCAUAUGUUUGUUGAUAAAGUAAAUGUUUGUCCACAAGAAUCUAGAAAAGGAUUUAUGGAAUUUCCAAUGAAAUGGUACCUUCAAAUAUAAAUGUUAAGCAAUUUAAGAAUCUAAUUGUAACAAGUAAAAAAAAAAGUAAAACAUUUCUAAGAAAAAGAAACAAAAACACUCCUUUUGAAAGAAAUCAGAAAAUGAAGAUGUUUAGUUAGCUUAUAAAUAAAAAAAAUAGUAUUAAGUAAAUAGAACACAAUAAAUGAUUGGACAAGCAGAGGACUAAAAGAGAGAAAAAAAACAUUCAUUUUAUUUAGAAACAAUAAAUGAAAGAGCCCAAAAAUUUAAAGAAGAAUCUUGCAUGACCCAAAUAUUUAUAAACUCAUAUUAGAGAGAAAAAGAAGAAGAAGAAGCUUUAGAAAGGCUUCUCAUUUAUUAGCAAAAUUAACACAAUAAAAAAAAACUUUAGAUUUAACUUAAGAAAGUAAAAAAUAUAUAUUUCUAAAUAUAAUUUAAUUUGCAUAAUAAGAAAAUUUUGAAUUUUUAAAUUUGGUCCAAUUUGAAUUUAAAUUUUAUUAAGAUGGAACAAAACAAACUAUUUAUACCAAAAACUUUGGAACCAAGUAAUAAUGGGUUAUAGUGUAUUGUUGUUUUUUAAAAAAAUAAAUAAAUAAAUUAUGUAUGGAUUAUACAAUAAAUUUAAAUUGUUCAUGUUAAUGAUAUUUACUUUUUUGUACUAUAUUGUUGAUAAUAUAAGUAAUGAGUUGCUUAUAUUUCUAAAUAUAUUUUUUAUGUUUCUUAUAUAUAAAUAAAAAUAAAGCAUGCCACCAAGUGAAGAGUUCCCAACUAAAGGAUUGGAGGGUGCACCAAGUAAUGAUAUAGGUUGGCACUUUGGAACUCCAGUGCCAAAUGCGAAAGGAAAUAUCAUAUGUAAACUUUGUGGUAAAGUUGUGAAAGAAGGAAUAAAACGAUUUAAAGAGCACAUUGCUCAUAAAACCGGCAAUGUUGCACCAUGCCCUAAUGUUACUGGUAUGUGAUACUUUAUUAUUAUUUUUAAAUGUUAUUGUAAAUUUAUCAAUAAAGAUUAUAUAUAAUUGAUAAUAAUAUAAAGUGUGAAUUAUUUUUAUUUUAUUAACAGGUGUCAUUACAGAAAGUAUGAUGAAUAUGCUGAAAGAAGGAAACAUAAAGAAAGUAGACAAAAAGAGGAGAAAAGAUGAAUUCUUAUCUCAAUUGAGAGAAGAGGAGGAUGAACACGAGGAAUUCAUUGAUGAGGUUUCUGCUAUAAGGCAAGAAACUCGAGAAAGUAUCCAAUCACAACAUGAGUGGCAUAGAAGGGAAGAAUUCAGAGGAAGUACUGGUGGUUGGGAUAACAUUUAUGAAGAAUGGCGAUCUUCUCAAGGAUUAGCUAGAGAAUAUCAUAGAGAAAGAACACAUAAAUCCAUCCCAAGUGAGUCUGAGUUUACCUUAAGGGGAGCUAUACCUGAAUUGGUUAGAAGCAAAAGUUCAAAGCAACCAAAGGUCAAUGACUCUUUUUUAAAGAGUUUUCGAAGGAAGAUAGGUGAAGCGGUAUCUAAAUUUUUAAUAUAUGAAAGACUUCAUUUUCAAUUAGUAAGCUCUCCAUGGUUGUAUAACUUAAUUCAAGUGUCAACAGAAGUUGGACAAAGUGUAAAGGUCCCAACAUCUUAUGAGGUUUCAGAUGUGUAUUUGGAGUCAGAGUAUCAACGAGUUCGUGAUUGGGUAAAUGGACUAAAGACUCAUGGGAAAGAAUUGGGUGCGACUCUAAUGUGUGAUGGUUGGACCAACAGUUUGAAUCAAAUGCACAUCAUUAAUUUCCUUGUUUAUUGCAGUAAAGGAACCAUUUUUUGGAAAUCGGUAGAUGUCUCAAGUGUCCGUAGUAGAGAUGCUGAAUUCUACUAUUGUUUGUUAGAUUCAGUUGUACAAGAAAUUGGAGAAAAUUACAUUAUCCAAAUAGUGACUGAUAAUGAGGCAGCAAUGAAAGCUUCUGGAAAAAAAUUAAUGUUGAAAAGCAAACAUCUAUGUUGGACCUCAUGUACAACUCACUAUUUAGAUUUAUGCCUUGAAGAUAUUGGGAAAAAGCCCAGUGUAGCAAAAGUGUUAGAUGAGGCAAAGAAAGUAACUUGCUUUAUAUACAAUCACAUUUGGACUGUUGAUUUGAUGAAGAAGUAUACACAAGGGAAACAAAUACUUCGACCCUCUCUUACUCGAUUUGCCACUCAUUUCAUUCAACUUGAAGAGAUAACAAAACAAAAGCAAUGUCUGAGAGAAAUGUUUAAUUCAAAGGUCAAUAUUUUAUAAUUAGUUAAUAUAAUUACUUAAAUAUCGUAACCUUUAGUGAUUUUAUUAGUUCCAAAUAAUUUAAAUUAUAUUAUUUUAAAAUUUUUCUUAUGAAUAUAUAGGAAUUUAAAGAAUCAAAAUGGGGACAGCAAAAGUCAAGGACUGCUUAUGAAGCCAAAAAUUUGUUUUGGGAAAAUAUUUUUGGAAAAAAGCCAAUGACCUCAUAAAAGUUUACGAGCCCUUAGUAAGAGUAUUGAGACUUGUGGAUAGCGAUGAAAAACCAACGAUAGGCUUUAUUUAUGAGGCUGUUGAUAGAGCUAAACGAGCAAUUCAACAAGAUUGUCGAUAUUUCACAGAGUAUGAAAAAAUUAUUGACAAUAGAUGGAAUUUUAUGCAUUCCGACUUGCAUUCAGCUGGUAAGAUAAAAUGUUUCAUAUAAUUAAGAACUAUAUUUUAUUUUUUUAAGCUUUAGAUUAUUAUUAUUUGAUGAUAUUCUUAUAAACUAUACUUAGGUUAUUUUCUCAAUCCUCAAUUUCAAUUUGGGGUGGAGCAUUCUGAGAAUGUACUAAUAGAAACAUUAGAAGGUACACGAUCAAUAAUUGAAAGAUUAGAACCUUCUCUUGAUACUCAAGUCAGAAUGGUUAAUCAAGUUAGAUUCAAGUACUAUUAUUUGUAACUUAGUUACAUAAUUUGAAAUAGAAUUUUUAUUUUUAUUUUUACUCUAUCUUUUAUUUAUGCAGUUGUUACUAUUUAGAGAUAAACAUGAGACAUUCGGUACUCCACAAGCACAAAGAGCUUGGAAGCAAAUGAAUCCGAGUAAACAGUUAAUUAAAUUAUUUAAUUUAAUUUAUAUUAUUUAAUUAUAUUGUACAUUUUGAAGUUAUUUUGAAAUUUAAAUAAUAUUAUGCAGCUGAGUGGUGGAUAAUAUACGGCACAUGUGUUCCCGAAUUACAAAAAUUAGCAAUUAAAGUGCUUAGUCAAACAACUUCAGCAUCAAAUUGCGAACGAAAUUGGAGCACAUUUAGUUAUAUUCACACCAAGGCAAGAAAUAAGUUAAAGUAUAAAAAACUUGAAAAUCUAGUGUUUGCCUAUUAUAAUAUGAGGCUUAAGAUGAGGCAUCAAAAAAAAAAAAAGCACUGAUGAUAUAAAUGCUAGUUUUAAUCCUAUUAGCCUUGAUUAUAUCUUUAAAGAUGUUGAUCCACUAUCAGAAUGGCUUCAUGAGAAAGAGAAUCCAUUGUUAGAUGGUGAAAAUGCCGGUGUGUUGCCUGUGGAUACCUCAGAUGAUGAAAUAGAUGUUGAUCAAUCUCAACAACAAAUUUUGUGCCAGUCAAGUUCUAGUUCAACUCCAAGUCAGAGUGGCGGUGGACCCGAUGGUGGUGGUUUAAGUCCAAUUGAUGAGGAUGAUGGAUAUAGUGGUGAUAGAGGUGAAAUUAGGUCUUCUAGUAAGUAUGGAGGAGAAUAUGGGGUUGGUACCACUGGUGGACAUUUUCGUGACAGAUCAGAGUUUGAUGGAAAUAUGUUUCCUGAACCUAGGAGAGAUAGAAGUGAACCUAGAGCUUCAUCAAAGGGAAAAGGCAAGAAGCAUACUUCUAUAGGCUCUUCAUCUGGUAGGAGAUCGAGUUCUAGUAACCUUGGGUAUAGUGAUUCAUCUACUAGCACUCAAGGUUUUUAUCCACCAGAACAACCUUCAUAUUUUCAACCUUUACAUGGUUAUCCACAACCAUACGAUUAUUAUCCACCAUUUCCUAAUUAUGGUGUGACAUACUAGCCUCAAAUGCAUCCUCCUCCACCAAUGUAUCACCCACCUCCACCUCUCAUGUAUCCUCCUCCUCAAAUAUAUCCUCCAUAUCAAUUAUAUGAAAACCAAGGUGAAAAUGUUACUUUUUUUGGAUAUAUUUUUGGACAAAGGCCAAGAGAAUCAAGUCAAGAACGCUCCCAAAGUGAAGGUGAAGGAUUUGAUCUUCCUCGUCAUUCCACUAAUUGGUGAAAACUAAAUCGUACCACUAUCAUUAUUUGUAAGGUAUGUUUUUUUUUUAAGAAAACUUUUGUUAUUGUUCUUAAUUUUGAUGAUAUUAAAAUAUUUAAAAUAAUAUAUAUAUUUAGAUAAAUGAAUGGAGUAUAUUUUAUGAAAAGAUAAUUAAGAAUCGAAGCAUGUUAAAUUAUAUAUGAAAGUAGAAUGAGAGUGAGAAUAAGUGGUAGGAAAUAUGAAUAAUUAAUGAGAAUCUAUACAUUAAUUUAUCUAUUCCUUUUUUCUUUUUGCAGCAUAGAAUGUUUAUAUCUUCACCAUCUUCAAAGCUGUCAAGAAAUAUUGAAGACAUCUCUCAGGUAUGAAUUUUCAAUUCUUUUAUAUAUAAAAACUUUCAAACUUAUUAAAUAUGAUAAAUGUUUAAUAUUUCCUUUUUUUUACUUUGUUAUUAGUUAAUAUAACAUUCUUAGAAAAUUCGUAAAUAAAUGUAAGAAUAAUUAAUGAUUAUAAAAGUUGUGUUCUCAUAUCAUAUUAAUAAAGGUUCAUAAGUUUUAGAAAACACUCUAAAAAUCAUUAAAAGUGACUUUUUAUAAUUAUAAUUAUAAUUACUAUGUUUUACAAUAAGUUGUGCGAAAUUGAAAAAAAAUUCACGAUCGCGAUACCCGCAGUGACCGCAAUAGCGUCCUUUAUGUCCGUGACCGCGACAAACGCGACGCGACCGAAAACACGACCGCGACCGCAAUUUAAAUCCCUGACCCAAGGUUGUUUUGGCCUUCACGUAUAUAGCUUAAGUAGCCAUUAUUGUCGCUGGGUUUGAGGACGAUAAACUUGGGCAAGGUCAAUGCCAUUUGAAUGGAUGAUUCUGUUUGUUGUGUUUCACUUUCACUCUCGUGUUUUGCUUACCACAACGAGCUUGGCUACCUAUUUAUAUCUAUAAUGAAAGGGUAAUAUUGUCCACCACAUGGAAAAUUUGUCAUCUCGAAGGUUGGGUGGAAAGUUUAACUAGGUAUGGAACAAAAUGAAAGUGAGAAAAAGUUUAUUUAAUGAUUUAUUUAAAGCAAUCAGCUAUUAAUACAGUGAUUUAUUGAUUGAUUUAAGAUUUUAAAAGUAGGGUGAAUUUUUUAAAAUAAAAAUAUUUAAAUAAUUAUUUUAAUUGUAGUUUUCAAAUGAUUUUUUAUAAAUACAAUUUAUAUUUUGGAAUUACAAUUAGACUCAAUGCGUACCAUGUAUAAACAAAAUUACAAUUAUACCAACAGGGUAAAUUGAGUUAGUACAGAGGUGUCUAUUAUAUUGGAAUGUGAAAAAUGAAAAUGGUUAUGUGGUUAUUAUAUUCGGAGGCCCCAAAAUUAGGUAGCACACCAGACAAAAUCAGGUAGUAAAGUGGUGUAAAAUAAAUACUAUUAUAUAUAUAAGCCUUAUAUGUUAACCCAUUUAAAACCCAAAAUAAAAUUCAUUAUUUUUAAAUUAUAAAUAUAGUUUUUAUUAUACUUUUACAUAUUCUAUAAUUAAAUAAAAAAACCCUAAGUCUAAUUUUAAUGUCAUUCGCUCAAGAAUUCAUUGCUUAUUUAUUAUUAUUGUUAAAACUUUCAAAAAUUUAAGUGUUCAUCCUUUUUUUUGCUUAUUAUGUAUUGUUAAAAUUUUUAAAAUUUUGGUUAUCAUUAUUAAUAUUUCUAAUUUGGGUUUUUUUUCUGUCAUUACACAUUAAGAGUUAUAAAAUACAAAUAAUUUAACGUUUGAUUGUGUUCAUGAAGAUGGAGAGUGAUUAAAUCAAGGUAUAAUUAGAUUUUUAAUAAACAUUUAUAAUUAUAUAUUUCAAAUAAAUAUAUUAAUUGCAAUUUUAUGUAUAAUUGAAAAGAAUUUUAAAUUUAUCAAAUUGUGUUUAAGAAACAAAAAAAAAUUGUUAUUUUUUAGAGGAAUUUAAUUAAAUAAUAUGAUAUUAAUCUAAAAUAUGGAACUCACUUGGAUUUAAGCCAACUUGACUUUUUAGAAUGAAAAUGGCAUUAGUUUAAAAUGAGCACAAUACGAAUGGUGUUAAAUACUCUCCUUGUUCAGCGGGUUUUUGAGGUACAUUAAGGAAUAUUAAAAAAUAAACAUUUUUAAAUAUUUUUCCUUUUCUUUUUAAAAUUUUUAGAUUUAGAGCUAAAUUGUCAUAUUAUGUAAAUGUUCAGGGCUAAAUUUAUUGAUUUUUUAGAAUUCAAACUAAAAUGACGAAUUUUAUAAACAUUGAAGGUUAAAUUUGUUGAAUUUUAUAGAUUUAGAAUCAAAUUGAUAUAAUGUAUAAAUAUUGAAUGGCUCAAUUUGUUAUUAAGCCACUAUAAAUUGGCCCACGUCAGCUUUUUGUUACUCAUCUAAAGGCGUAUGGACUAUUGAUGGGUGUUGAGUACAUCAAAAAUAAAUUAAACUUGUAGUAUACAGAGUAGGGUCUAUCUCACAGGGAUUGAACCGAUUGAUUUUAUUGAAAUUGAUUGAUCAAAUUGUCUAAACCGAUGACGAAACUGAUAAGAUCAUCGAAACUGACUUAAAUUAAAAUUGGAAAACGGAAUCAAUGUAUUAUUAAGUAAUGAAAUUGUAUAGAGUACUUAUUGUACAUGAUAAUAUUGAACUAGAUUUGAAUUUUGAAGAAUUAGUCAUUCUAAACAACAGUGAUGACGAAUUUUUAGAAUUAUUAGGUACUAAAUUUAACUCAUAAUAUAAUCUUCUUUUUUCUAUCAAUGAAAACGAGGAGGAAUGCUUUGUUCAUGCUUGAAGAAAUUCUUUGGAUCAGUCUUCGUCUUGACAUAAACAAGCCUAUCAAAAUUAUUCUUGAAAUAUUUACGUCCCCAAAUGCUUGCUUGCUUAUAACUUGCCUUGCCAUCAUCAUUAUUUCUCCCAAUAUCGAGAUCUCUGUAAUUAACAUACGCUUCUCGUGGAGAUUUCGAAACAAAAGGACCCAUGUAGCUAUAAAGUUUCCUCAUCCAGCUUAUAUACCUUUGAGAAUUAUUGUUUUCCUCCUCUAGCCAACCGAUAUUGUAGUUUAUCUUGUAUAAGGUGCCUUUUCGAUGUGGAAAUGGAGUUUCUGUCUCUGAGAUUUCCUCCAUUAUUCCACCGUAAGCAAUAAUGUUUUGAACUGCUAUGCCUCCUUCGUCGACCUCGAGAAGUUGGGGCCAUAGCCCUUGUAAUGCUAUUUCAGGCAUUGGUUCCCUCACGUAAUCAGAUUUUGAUUUGAAUGAAGGAGGAAGAAGGGAAUACCUGUUGCUCCUGUCGAGCAAAAUCUCCGAUGUUUCAAACUCCGUUCAUUAACAAUAGAGAUUCGAUCCAAGUCAUCUCAAUAAAAUCUUCCUUAACGAGUCCAAGCUCCGGGAAUCGUUCUUGCAUCAAUGGAAUAAACUCAUUGGCACAACCUUGGAACAAUGAAAUAAAGGUGGCAAGAACCGUCUUUGUCCCAUUUUCACUGGCGUUCGUCGUUGAUAUCGCAACGAGUGAGUAUACAUCAUUCGGAAGAUUGGGUGCAACGUAUUGCCAACGAUGAAGAAGCUGUGUUGCAUCUUGUUCCAAGGUCCUGCCCACUGAGAAAACAGUCACAGUUGAAGGAACAUGAACCAGCUUUAUUUUCCAUGAAAUAACGAUCCCAAAGCUUCCCCCUCCGCCACCUCGAAUGGCCCAAAACAGAUCUUCACCCAUCGAUCUUCUAUCAAGAACUCUUCCAUUAGCAUCGACCAACUGCGCAUCGAUCACGUUAUCCGCCGAGAGACCAUAUUUUCGGAACAAUAAACCAUCGCCUCCACCGCUAAUCAACCCACCAAUUCCUACAGUGCGGACAACAGCUGCUGGGAAGGUAAGGUUCGUGCUUCUUUCAUUGAUUCUGUAGUAUACUUCACCCACGGUUGCACCUGAUUGAACCCACGCCUCUUCGUUUUCGACAUCAACAUCGACUGAUCGCAAAUUAACCAAAUCGAUAAUAACAAAUGGGUCAUGGGAGACAUAGGAAAGACCUUCGAAGUCAUGACCACCACUUCGAGUUCUAAUUUGGAGGCCAUAAUUUUUGGAGCAAUGAAUCGUUGCUUGAACUUGGGAAAUGUUCAAUGGUGUUACAUUACAAUAACCAAUGGUUUGGGGGUAUUAGGCGUAGAGAACCUGUGAUUCCUAAUGGAAGAAUCCAAAACUGCUGCAUAUGAAGAGUUCGUUUCAGUGUAGAUAACUUGAGUAAUGGAAGAGGAUUCCUUGGGAUGAUAUGAAUAAAGGCAUUCAAGAAAAUCAUCAUGGCUAUUAGCUGAAGCACUCACCCAUGACAAUGAGCAAACAACAAUGAAAAGCAAUGACAGAGAAUGGUGAAGGGACUUCAUGUUUAUGGAAUUGAUGAAUUUGUGAAGAUUUCAGCAAGAUAUUCCCCUUAUUUAUAGAGGCAAUGCUUUGAGCCGCCAUGUGAACAAAGUUUGAUUCAAGAAACCCAGGUAUUUGAAGUCAAUUCAUAUAUAAUAAUGGCAUAUGCUGCUCAUUUCCUUGUCUAACUAAAUUGGGUUUUUUAAUCACUCAAAAUUAUUCCAAAAAAUCGUCAAAAAAAUUUUCUUAUUGCAUACGAAUGUGGAUGUUUGACUUACAGUAAAAUGGGAAGAUACUUGGAACAAGGUGCACUUUGGGAAUUUCAAAGGGAAAAAAAGGUAACGAAAUUGAGAUUAUAAAAUUUUUUUAUUCAUAGUCACAAUAAUUUAUUCUUCUAGAAAAUAAAAAAUAAAUGAGUCAAUAUUGUAAUGUUAUAAUAUUGGUUUCUAUAUAAGUGUCCAUAAAUAAAAUCAUUAUAAAAAAAAAAGCAGAUAUGGGUUAACAAUCAAUAUUCAAUACAAAAAUAAAAAUAAGUUAAUUAACAUAAAAUUAGACAAAUGAGUCAAAAUUCUCUCCCUGCGUACUUCCUUGACGGUGUCAUAUGACUCUUUGAAUCAAUUUUGCACAAUUAAACACAAUUUAACGUCUCAUAUUUUAUUAGCAAAUUCAAUUUAUUAAAUUUUGCUAUUAAUUUUAAUUUUUUGCUGAAGUUACAAUUUAACGUCUCAUAUUUAACAAUGUCGCUUUGCAUGAAAGUGAAGGGAACAUCGCACUUACCUUUGGUUGCAAUGAGGUUAACCGUCACCUUAGUCAUCGCAGGCACAACAAUUUUGUGUACAACGUCUACUAAAGUUUUCGAUUCUUUGGUCUCUUCCCACUUGACAUCUGAGUGAAAUUCACCGGACAUUUCAAUAUUUCCCUGAGAAAUCAAUGGUACGUUGAAUUCCAUUUUAGCUUCCAUUGCUAACUUGAGUGAAAAUUUACUCUUCCAAGUACUAGUCUUGAUAUCUGUAUAUGAAAGCUUCAUGUCCAUAUGGGUAUGUUCUUGGGUAUAGUUACUAGCAAAAUUCUUGGAAAUAAUGAAGGUUGUUUCGUCGUAAACCCUGGAAUUACCAAGAUCAUAUUUGACAUCAUAGAUAUCCCUUGUCAAGACUGGCUCUUCCACUAUUAGCUUGCCUUCUUUGGU
RNAcentral lists this long non-coding RNA (11885 nucleotides) under Gossypium barbadense (sea-island cotton). RNAcentral's name for it is "long non-coding RNA (GBAR_LNC013873)". Lineage: Eukaryota; Viridiplantae; Streptophyta; Magnoliopsida; Malvales; Malvaceae. The record is from RNAcentral.